This 917-nucleotide long non-coding RNA is filed under the name Heterocephalus glaber (naked mole-rat). Its description in RNAcentral is "lncRNA (ENSHGLG00100044904.1)". The record is from RNAcentral. Lineage: Eukaryota; Metazoa; Chordata; Mammalia; Rodentia; Bathyergidae.
GAUCCUCAGCCCUGAACACAGUGCUUGGUACCAGUACAUCCUCAAUAAAUACAUCUGUACCCAGAUGUCCAUGGAAGACGUGUUCCAAGACCACCCUUCAAUACCCAAAUCCAUGGAUGCUCAAAUCCCUUCCAUAAACUGAGGCAAAACAUUUGCUGAGUACGGGCUAUGACAGACAGACACUGUGCUGAGACAUGCGGCAAAGGCAGAUGCAGAGAAGCCAAGGGGCAGUGGGACCCCAAGAGAGAACUCUAACUCAUCCCGGGAUAAGAGAGAGCUUCCUUAGGAGAGGACACCCAAGCUCAAUGGAGUGUGAUGGAGGAGGAGGCAGGAAAGAGAACAGGGGAAGAGGAAGCAGCGUGUGCAAAGGCCACUGCUAGCACAGGAUGAAGAGCAGUGAGAGACCAGGUGGAAGAAGCAGAGGACCAGCUGUGACCACUGCAGUAAUCCACAUAUGAGAUGAUGGUGCUGAGGAGGAGGCUGAAGAGCCACCACAACAUGGCAUCCAGGAUCUUCUGUUGCUGCUGCAAGGCCAGUGAGGGGGCUUCCAACACUGUGGGCUCCCACAGCCCAAGAAUGUUCCAACAGCAUCAUCCAUGGUCCUCCGAUCUGAAGGCAGGCUCUUACCAAGAUAGUUUGCAAAAGAAACACACACACUGCUCCCAAAACAACCGGAUGACAGUCAAGACAUGCAACCUUGGGUGACCCUGAGCAUUCUAGUCAGUGGCGCCCCCAUGAGGCUCUGGCUGCACAGCUGCAGAGGAUCUCCAUGAGGAGGAAGGCAGUGGGCAGGAGUCAUAAAGACUGAUUCAGAAACUUCAGGCAGGAAGAGAAGAUGUCGGAGUCAACCCUGUGCCAUCUGCUGGAGUCCCACCAUCUGACACAGCCAGGGCAGGAAGAGCUGUCUCCAAUUAAAG